RNAcentral lists this ribosomal RNA (496 nucleotides) under uncultured bacterium. Its description in RNAcentral is "partial 16S ribosomal RNA". It matches the Rfam family "Bacterial small subunit ribosomal RNA", at positions 28 to 506 of the family's 1533-position model. The record is from RNAcentral.
GAUGAACGCUGGCGGCGUGCCUAAUACAUGCAAGUCGAGCGAACAGACGAGGAGCUUGCUCCUCUGACGUUAGCGGCGGACGGGUGAGUAACACGUGGAUAACCUACCUAUAAGACUGGGAUAACUUCGGGAAACCGGAGCUAAUACCGGAUAAUAUAUUGAACCGCAUGGUUCAAUAGUGAAAGACGGUUUUGCUGUCACUUAUAGAUGGAUCCGCGCCGCAUUAGCUAGUUGGUAAGGUAACGGCUUACCAAGGCAACGAUGCGUAGCCGACCUGAGAGGGGGAUCGGCCACACGGGAACUGAGACACGGUCCAGACUCCUACGGGAGGCAGCAGUAGGGAAUCUUCCGCAAUGGGCGAAAGCCUGACGGAGCAACGCCGCGUGAGUGAUGAAGGUCUUCGGAUCGUAAAACUCUGUUAUUAGGGAAGAACAAAUGUGUAAGUAACGAUGCACGUCUUGACGGUACCUAAGCAGAAAGCCACGGCUAACUACGU